CCUACGGGGUGCAGCAGUAGGGAAUAUUGCACAAUGGGGGAAACCCUGAAGCAGCAACGCCGCGUGAGGGAUGAAGGUUUUCGGAUUGUAAACCCCUUUUGUUAGAGAAGAUAAUGAGUGAAACUAACGAUUCAGCACGGGCUAACUACGUGCCAGCAGCCGCGGUAAGACGGAGGGUGCAAGCGUUACUCGGAAUCAUUGGGCGUAGAGAGCGCGUGGGCGGGAUCGCAAGUCAGAUGUGAAAGCCUUUGGCUUAACCAUAGAACUGCAUUUGAACCUGUGAUUCAAGAGUUUGGGAGAGGUAGGUGGAAUUCUUGGUGUAGGGGUAGAAUCCGUAGAGAUCAAGAGGAAUACUCAUGGCGAAGGCGACCUGCUAGAACAUAACUGACGCUGAUGCGCGAAAGCGUGGGGAGCGAACAGGAUUAGAUACCCUAGUAGUC
RNAcentral lists this ribosomal RNA (440 nucleotides) under uncultured bacterium. RNAcentral describes it as "partial 16S ribosomal RNA". It matches the Rfam family "Bacterial small subunit ribosomal RNA", at positions 338 to 795 of the family's 1533-position model. The record is from RNAcentral.